AUCCGGUUGGCGAGUCCGGAAUAGAACGAAACGCGCGUCCUGGAU
Molecule: non-coding RNA, 45 nt
Filed under: Schistosoma margrebowiei
Lineage: Eukaryota; Metazoa; Platyhelminthes; Trematoda; Strigeidida; Schistosomatidae
Source: RNAcentral